This 5480-nucleotide long non-coding RNA is filed under the name Homo sapiens (human). RNAcentral's name for it is "HSALNT0046678". Lineage: Eukaryota; Metazoa; Chordata; Mammalia; Primates; Hominidae. The record is from RNAcentral.
GGAACAUUGCGACACUUGCAAGUUCUCCCUAGUUGUUAAGAUAGAAAGGCACUGUUCAUGAGGGGAAUCCUUUGGAAGUCCUGUCUUGCUGACAGAUAGGUCCCUUUGGAACAGAUUGGAGGUCUUCUCCCCACAGCAGAGGAAAAACAACAACAGCAACAACAAUACAAAAUGACAACAGAAAAAGCAAGGAUGAUGAAUUCCCAUGGACAGCUAGCAAAUUAUCUGAUGUGGGAAGCAGGUUCAGGAUUUCUGAACGAUGGAUGAUCCUGAUUGACAUUUCAUGUGACAGUUCUCAAUCUCUUCGUGAUUGGGAAAGUGGCACUUAUAACCACCAUCUACUGGCAAGUCAUUGGCUCUCUCUCCUUCUUGGCCUGGUUUCCCUGUCCCUCAUUCCUACCUUUUUCCAGGAUCACAAAAGCCGAUAACAAGCUUGCACUCAGGUUCUGCUUCCUGGAGAGCCCAGGCUGAUAUCUCACUUCAUAUUUACAACAACUAUGCAAGAUAUGUCUUCUUGUUGUUGUCUCAUAAAUAAAGAAACGGGAGAGUCUAACAAGAUAACUGACUUGUACAGAGUCACACAGCUAGUAAGUUACAAAGGCAGAACUCUGAUUUAAGUCUUCUGCCUCUCAUCUUGCAUUAUUUCCCAGGUACCACAAUAUCUCCUAGCAAUUUUUAUUUUCUUAAUUUUAAUUUUUUUGAAACAGUGUCUUUCUCUGUCACCCAGGUUGGAGUGCAGUGAUGCAAUCAUGGCUCACUUCAGCCUCUACCUCCUGGGAUCAAGCAAUCCUCCCACCUCAGCCUCUGGAGUCACCGGGACUACAGGCACGUGUAACCAUGCCCAGCUAACUUUUAAAUUUUUUGUAGAGACAAGGGCUCACUAUGUUGCUCAGGCUAAUCUCAAACUCUUGAGCUCAAGUGAUCCUCCUGCCUUGGCCUUCCAAAGUGCUAGGUUUACAAGCAAGAGCCACUGCGCCUGACUUGUCCUAGCAAUUUUUAUGUAUCAUUGUGUGUAAUUUAGGCCAUUUUCCCAACCCAAUUUUAAAACUGUUUAAAUGGAUUAGAGAUAAGACAUCCCAAGUACAUAAUUCAUUUCCCUAUUACUUAAAUGCUCUCCUUUCCCUUCUUCCCUAAACCUAUGAGUUUGGUAAUCCUUUUACAUGGCUUACUUAUAUCUGAAAUUACUUUUAUUCAAUAGAAAGUAUAUAAAUUAAAAUCUCUUUAUUGGUAUUAUCACGAUCUAUACCUUUCCAAGGAAACCACUUCUCACAGUCAAAUUAGGGAGGCUCUUGUAUCUUAAUCAAAGCUUAACAGUUUAAUCGUUCAUUAAACAUGAGAGUAAUUUAGUGUCCUACUAUGCAAUCAUUAUUGUUUCCUGAAAAUCUGGUAUGAUGAGGUACAAUAAAUGCAAACUGAAAUAUUGCCUGUGGAAAGUUAUUUAUUAUUUCUUCUAGCUAAAAACAUUCAUAACUGAAAUUUAUUGGCUCAUACUCCCUUCAUUAUAAAUAUUUUAUGUUCUGCCUCAGGGAUCCAUGUCUUAGCAUUUAAAUGUCUCAAUCUUGUGUCAGUAACAGGAAGAACAAGUUCACUGGGUGGAAUUUUUGCCCUUUGCUUCAGAAUGUUACAAUAAUAAUAGGCUAUAAAUAUGUUAUAAUUAUAUCUUUGAUCAUUGCCGUGGUUUUCUAGCCUGAAUGAAUUAAACUCAAAACUAAAGCUGAGCUGAUAGGCAAAAAUGACAGCCGUUAUCUUAUACUAAAAUUUUUCUGAAAACCAUAUUAAUAUAGUAAAAAUAUUUAGAGUGGCCAGGAUAGUACAUCAUUUUUCCUAUUACUGUACUUUUACUUUAAUGUGAAAUAGUACCUAUACCUAUUACCACCCUUACAUCUCAAUAAUGGUUUACAUUCAUUUAAAGUUUUACUUUUUUAGUUCUUUCAUGUUCUAGUCACAAUAACAAACUUUGAGGUACUAAGGACUGUUGCUAUAAUAGUCAUCGGUCAAAUGAAAAAUGUGAGGUUCAGGUAGUUAAAGAUGUCUAACUUUUUUAAUGUUAAUAUUUUUAGUUAUGAGAUACAGUAACAUAGUGCAAUGGUUUGAAUUAGGCUUCUGUUUUCUGCCGACCUCACCUGAUGGGGUCAGCUUGGGGUAGGAGGUGCAGUGGAGAAGGAAAUGGCAGAGAGGAGAGGACAUGAGCAGGUGACAAAACAGCAGACGACAGGUAAUGCUAUCUGGAGAGAUGAGGGUAUAAGACACAGGGAAUAUCCCUCAUCGGCUAUAUUCUCCCAGAUUCAUCUCCCUGUAUAAAGCCUACUGAGCAGAUUACUGAGAGAUUCCUAAAAUUGUGUAGCUUUCCUAGAAACCCCAGACAGCUGUGGGACAAAGACUUGUCCUUACCGAGAUGAGGCGUACUAGAUUGCAUUAGUUAAUGGAAAUUUUAAAGUUCCAUCUGGAGGACCUUUUAAGAGUUCUUUAUCUCAGUCCAUUCUCUUUAAAAUUCCAGAUACAAACUUUUGAGACCCACCCUUCGUAAGAAAAAAAAUGCAGAAGAAAGACAAAUUGGAUUUCAUUUCAAGAAAAUUGAAAAUAAAAUUCUUCAUACUGGUGUCUUAGUUCAUUUGUGUUACUAUAACAAAAUACCUGAGGCGCCUAAUUUAUAAACAAUAGAAAUUCAUUUUUCACAGUUCUGGAGCCUAGGAAGAUUAAGGCACUGCAAGUAUGCUGUCUGGUGAGAGCCUGUUCCUCAUAGAUGGUACUGUCUAGGUGUUCUCAUAUGGUGGAAGAGACGGAAAGAGAAAAAGAGAUGAACACUGUGUUCUCACAUAGCAGAAGAGUGAGACAGAAUGAACCCACUCCCUCAAGUUCUUUUAUAAGGGCCCCAAUCUCAUCCCUGAGGGCUCUACCCUUAUGACUUCACAGCAUCUAAAUACCCCACCUCUUAUCAUAUUGGCGAUUAAGUUUCAAUGCAUGAAUUUUGGGGAAAACAUUCAGACCAUAACACCUGGUAUUAAAUUAUCCAUAGAAGAAAUACAUGAAGGAAGGACUAACUCCUCUUAGUGUAUACAAACAUGUUGACAGAGAUGCUUUCCUUAAGAAAUAUCAUGUAAUUUGAAGGUAAGAUGAUUUUUUUCUUUUUCUUUUCUUUUCUUUUUUUUUUUUUUUUUUUUUUUUGAGACGGAGUCUCACUCUGUCACCCAGGCUAAAGUGCAGUGGCACAAUCUCGGUUCACUGCCACCUCUGCCUCCCAGGUUCAAGCGAUUCUCCUGCCUCAGCCUCCUGAGUAGCUGGGACUAUAGGCGCGUGCCCCCCAAGCCUGGCUAAUUUUUUGUAUUUUUAGUAGAGACGGGGUUUCACCGUGUUAGAUAGGAUGGUCUCCAUCUCCUGACAUUGUCAUCUGCUCGCCUUGGCCUCCCAAAGUGCCGGAAUUAUAGGCGUGAGCCACUGUGCCAGGCUGAAAAGAUGAUUUUUGAUAGCUUGAAUCCAGGUCUUCUUAGGGACUGAAUCCUCCUGCACAAUCCUGUAAGCCUACAUCCCCUCAAGUGUAUUCCUUCAAACACUUGUUCUCCAGGAUGUAAAUAAGUUUACGUGAAAAGAGUAUUCUGUGAUCAGAUCCUUAAAUGCUGACACCAGCCCGAAAAUAAUCUGUUGAUAAAGCAAAGCUAAUUUUAUUGUUUACUGUGCUAAGGGAGAUUGUUAUUUUGACAGUCUUAGUCACAUCUGAAUUCGAGAGAAAAAAGUUGCAGGUAUUAAUAAGAUGUAGGGGGUGGUCAGCGGAUCCUUCAAAGUGGGAGCUAGACUAGGACUGCAGAAGAUUCACAAUGUUAUUGUUUAGGAUUGGUGAACAUGGCAUGGAUAUGGUUUCAAAGAGAAUUUUUGAAGAGGAAACACUCUUUUCGUGCUAUAUUGUCCUGAGAAAAGGUAUUUUCUCUGAUGAAGUUAUUGGGGCUCAGAAACUGGUACCCCAGCAGCUUUGACAUACUGAACUAAAGAAGCAACCUCAAGGUCUCUUUGACCUUCCCCUACCCCUUCCUGUCUCUCAAUCCUCUGUCUCUAUCAAAGCACUUGAUGAAGCUGGUCUCUGAAGUUCCUUUAUCUGCCUGAAGUCCAGACCCACCAAAGAAGAAAACAAUUACCUCUGUUCCCUUCCUUGAAUUUGCAUUAACUUAAUUCAUAUGGCAAGAACAAAGACUAAAAGACCUGGACAGACUUUUGUCCAAACCAUUGUCUUCCUUUUUGGUCCACUCAGUAUUUCAAAGAGAAUCAUUUACCAGUCACUGUCUGUUUUGUGGGAUCAAAAUACUUUGUCCUAGGCCAUUGUAUCUUCUUCAAAUCCAUUUAUUUUCACCUAAAAAUCAUUUAUUAUGUCUCAAAUUGCCACACUCACCCCAUCUCCCUUUGCCCUAUGAAGAAGGGUAUAUAAGCAUCUGUACCCCACUGGGUCAUUGGGUAAUCAUUCUCCUGUGAUUUCCUUAUGUUAUGCACAGUAAAAUAAAUUUUAUAUGCUUUUCUCCUAUUCACCUACAUUUCUAAGUUGAUUUUCUGCAAAAUUUCAGAGGAAAAUAAAUUUUUUUCUAUGGCCCCUACAAUGGUAAAUGGAAUGUUUAGAUAAAUAGAUUUUCUGUGAGGUCCUGAAAUUAACAAUAAAGAUAUUUACAACUUUAGUUUCCUAAGUUUCUUGAAUAGUAAAAUCAUGUAAAACAAGAUAAAAAAAUAGUAAACUCUUGUUAGUGCAGAGUAUAGACAAUAAACUUAUAGUCUCUUGAACAGACACUUUGUAGCGAAACAAAAUGUGCCUUUUCUUUAGGCCUCAGCCAUCCUCAUGACAGUACCUCCCUAACACCUACCAUCUUUCUGGAUUCUUCCUUAAACUCUUACCUGAAACCUUUCUGCUUUGUAGUCCAAACUUGAAUCCCCAUAAUCAUUUCUAUUUCCAGGCCUUUUCUGUUGAAAAUCAAUCUGAUAUUUUCCCGUUCCUAGGAUUCCAAUCAGAAUGACAGGAUGCCAGCCCUAAGGAGGCAGAAACAAUAAAGGAUCCUUCCUUCUUAGAGCUGGAAGGGAGUGGAGGUUGACUUCAGUCUCUGAAUUUGUAUGUUAAUAUCUGUGUCCUCUCUAUAGGUUCAAAAGAUCUAUCUGAUGAAAGAAACAGUGAGGAAACAAUUAAUAUUAGAUGGUGGCACAGAAUUAAGUUUCAGGAUGUUUGUAGCACCAAAUAGAGGAAGGUUUUUUUUAAAAAAAAAAAAAAGUAUUUUAAGUCUUCUAUGAGUGCAAGUAGAAGGAAAGGAAGGGAAUGUUCUCUGUUGGGGGCCAAUGAUAUAUUGACUAAUGACAAGGAAAAAGCAAACCUCUCUUUGGACUGAAAAAAAGACAAGACAUGUUGAUAAGAGGAAACUGUAGCUUUAGCUGGGGAAGCAUAGUUAAACUUCUGGUCCUGAAUUAUUUCUAAAGGUCUCUAAAGAAUCUUCAAAUUAAAUCAUUAAACCAAACAU